AAGGAUUUAAGUUAAGCAAACUAAUAACCUUCAAAGUUAUAAAUAGGAAAAUUUUCUAAGCCUUA
RNAcentral lists this transfer RNA (65 nucleotides) under Nephus oblongosignatus. RNAcentral's name for it is "tRNA-Trp". The record is from RNAcentral. Lineage: Eukaryota; Metazoa; Arthropoda; Insecta; Coleoptera; Coccinellidae.